This 468-nucleotide ribosomal RNA is filed under the name uncultured bacterium. RNAcentral describes it as "partial 16S ribosomal RNA". It matches the Rfam family "Bacterial small subunit ribosomal RNA", at positions 28 to 507 of the family's 1533-position model. The record is from RNAcentral.
GACGAACGCUGGCGGCGUGCUUAACACAUGCAAGUCGAACGGAAAGGCCCUGCUUUUGUGGGGUGCUCGAGUGGCGAACGGGUGAGUAACACGUGAGUAACCUGCCCUUGACUUUGGGAUAACUUCAGGAAACUGGGGCUAAUACCGGAUAGGAGCUCCUGCUGCAUGGUGGUGGUUGGAAAGUUUCGGCGGUUGGGGAUGGACUCGCGGCUUAUCAGCUUGUUGGUGGGGUAGUGGCUUACCAAGGCUUUGACGGGUAGCCGGCCUGAGAGGGUGACCGGCCACAUUGGGACUGCGAUACGGCCCAGACUCCUACGGGAGGCAGCAGUGGAGAAUAUUGCACAAUGGGCGGAAGCCUGAUGCAGCAACGCCGCGUGCGGGAUGACGGCCUUCGGGUUGUAAACCGCUUUCGCCUGUGACGAAGCGUGAGUGACGGUAAUGGGUAAAGAAGCACCGGCUAACUACGUG